This 173-nucleotide ribosomal RNA is filed under the name uncultured bacterium. RNAcentral describes it as "partial 16S ribosomal RNA". It matches the Rfam family "Bacterial small subunit ribosomal RNA", at positions 1328 to 1500 of the family's 1533-position model. The record is from RNAcentral.
GGAAUCGCUAGUAAUCGCGGAUCAGAAUGCCGCGGUGAAUACGUUCCCGGGUCUUGUACACACCGCCCGUCACACCAUGGGAGUCGGAAAUGCCCGAAGUCUGUGACCUAACCGCAAGGGAGGAGCAGCCGAAGGCAGGUCGGAUGACUGGGGUGAAGUCGUAACAAGGUAAC